GACAGAGGGUGCAAACGUUGCUCGGAAUUACUGGGCGUAAAGGGCGUAUAGGCGGGGAAGGCAAGUCGGGCGUGAAAUCCCCAGGCUCAACCUGGGAACUGCACUCGGAAACUGCCUUUCUUGAGUGUCGGAGAGGAAAGCGGAAUUCCUGGUGUAGAGGUGAAAUUCGUAGAUAUCAGGAGGAACACCAGUGGCGAAGGCGGCUUUCUGGACGAUAACUGACGCUGAGACGCGAAAGCGUGGGGAGCAAACAGG
This 255-nucleotide ribosomal RNA is filed under the name uncultured bacterium. Its description in RNAcentral is "partial 16S ribosomal RNA". It matches the Rfam family "Bacterial small subunit ribosomal RNA", at positions 524 to 776 of the family's 1533-position model. The record is from RNAcentral.